ACGAACGCUGGCGGUAUGCUUAACACAUGCAAGUCGAACGGGCAUAGCAAUAUGUCAGUGGCAAACGGGUGAGGAAUAUAAAGGAACCUCCCCAGCAGUAAGGAAUAACUUUGGGAAACCAAAGCUAAUGCCAUAUAUCACCCUUCGGGGGAAAGAUUUAUCGCUGUUGGAUGGGCCUUUAUCGGAUUAGCUAGUUGGUAGGGUAAUGGCCUACCAAGGCAAUGAUCCGUAGCUGGUCUGAGAGGAUGAUCAGCCACACUGGAACUGAGACACGGUCCAGACUCCUACGGGAGGCAGCAGUGGGGAAUAUUGGACAAUGGGCGCAAGCCUGAUCCAGCAAUACCGCGUGAGUGAUGAAGGUCUUCGGAUUGUAAAGCUCUUUUAGUAGGGAAGAUAAUGACGGUACCUACAGAAAAAGCACCGGCAAACUUCGU
Molecule: ribosomal RNA, 434 nt
Filed under: uncultured bacterium
Lineage: Bacteria
Description: bacterial SSU rRNA
Rfam family: Bacterial small subunit ribosomal RNA
Source: RNAcentral